Molecule: ribosomal RNA, 460 nt
Filed under: uncultured bacterium
Lineage: Bacteria
Description: partial 16S ribosomal RNA
Rfam family: Bacterial small subunit ribosomal RNA
Source: RNAcentral
CCUACGGGUGGCAGCAGUGAGGAAUAUUGGUCAAUGGGCGCAAGCCUGAACCAGCCAAGUCGCGUGAGGGAAGACGGCCCUACGGGUUGUAAACCUCUUUUGCCGGGGAGCAAGCCUGAGCACGUGUGCCCAGGCGGAGAGUACCCGGAGAAAAAGCAGCGGCUAACGCCGUGCCCGCAGCCGCGGUAAUAAGGAGGAUGCGCGCGUGAUCGGGAUUGAGUGGGUUGAAAGGGUGCGUAGGCGGGCUGUUAAGCCGGCGGUAAAAAUUCAGGGCUCAACCCGGUCGGGCCGUCGGAACUGGCAGCCUUGAGUGGGCGAGAGGUAUGCGGAAUGCGUGGUGUAGCGGUGAAAUGCAUAGAUAUCACGCAGAACGCCGAUUGCGAAGGCAGCAUACCGGCGCCCGACUGACGCUGAGGCACGAAAGCGUGGGGAUCGAACAGGAUUAGAUACCCUUGUAGUC